Molecule: ribosomal RNA, 431 nt
Filed under: uncultured bacterium
Lineage: Bacteria
Description: partial 16S ribosomal RNA
Rfam family: Bacterial small subunit ribosomal RNA
Source: RNAcentral
AACGAACGCUGGCGGCAGGCCUAACACAUGCAAGUCGAGCGCCCUUUCGGGGGAGCGGCGGACGGGUGAGUAACGCGUGGGAAUAUGCCCUUCUCUACGGAAUAGCCUCGGGAAACUGAGAGUAAUACCGAAUACGCCCUAUGGGGGAAAGAUUUAUCGGGGAAGGAUUAGCCCGCGUUGGAUUAGGUGGUUGGUGGGGUAAUGGCCUACCAAGCCGACGAUCCAUAGCUGGUUUGAGUGGAUGAUCAGCCACACUGGGACUGAGACACGGCCCAGACUCCGACGGGAGGCAGCAGUGGGGAAUCUUAGACGAGGGGGGCAACCCUGAUCUAGCCAUGCCGCGUGAGUGAUGAAGGCCUUAGGGUUGUAAAGCUCUUUCAGCUGGGAAGAUAAUGACGGUACCAGCAGAAGAAGCCCCGGCUAACUCCGUG